GCCAGUAUGGUGGACAUGAUCCUCGGUUUGUAAUCGAGUGAGUUUGGGUUCGAAUCCCGAGUAAGGCA
Molecule: non-coding RNA, 68 nt
Organism: Trichonephila inaurata madagascariensis
Lineage: Eukaryota; Metazoa; Arthropoda; Arachnida; Araneae; Nephilidae
Source: the annotation of a GenBank genome assembly